CCUACGGGAGGCAGCAGUGAGGAAUAUUGGUCAAUGGCCGGAAGGCUGAACCAGCCAUGCCGCGUGAAGGUCAGUGCCCUAUGGGCGUUAAACUUCUUUUGUGCGGGAGCAAUAAUGGUCACGUGUGGCCAGACGACAGUACCGUACGAAUAAGCAUCGGCUAACUCCGUGCCAGCAGCCGCGGUAAUACGGGGGAUGCAAGCGUUAUCCGGGUUUAUUGGGUUUAAAGGGUGCGUAGGCUGGGAGGUAAGUCAGCGGUGAAAUGCCCCCGCUCAACGGGGUGAAGUGCCAUUGAUACUGGCUGGCUGGAAUGCGGAUGCGGUGGGAGGAAUGUGUGGUGUAGCGGUGAAAUGCAUAGAUAUCACACAGAACACCGAUUGCGAAGGCAUCUCACGAAUCCGCGAUUGACGCUGAUGCACGAAAGCGUGGGUAUCAAACAGGAUUAGAUACCCGAGUAGUC
This 460-nucleotide ribosomal RNA is filed under the name uncultured bacterium. RNAcentral describes it as "partial 16S ribosomal RNA". It matches the Rfam family "Bacterial small subunit ribosomal RNA", at positions 338 to 795 of the family's 1533-position model. The record is from RNAcentral.